RNAcentral lists this small nuclear RNA (107 nucleotides) under Procavia capensis (Cape rock hyrax). Lineage: Eukaryota; Metazoa; Chordata; Mammalia; Hyracoidea; Procaviidae. The record is from RNAcentral.
GUGCUUGUUUCCGCCGCAUAUAUGCUAAAACCGGAGCAAUGCAGGGAAGACUAGCAUGGUCCCUAUGUAAGGAUAACGUGCAAAUUUGUGAAGCCUUCUAUGGAUCU